UACGAAGGGGGCUAGCGUUGUUCGGAAUUACUGGGCGUAAAGCGCGCGCAGGCGGUCUUCCAAGUCAGUGGUGAAAGCCCGGAGCUCAACUCCGGAACUGCCAUUGAAACUGUGAAACUUGAGGACGAGAGAGGUGAGUGGAAUUCCCAGUGUAGAGGUGAAAUUCGUAGAUAUUGGGAAGAACACCGGUGGCGAAGGCGGCUCACUGGCUCGUUUCUGACGCUCAGGCGCGACAGCGUGGGGAUCAAACAGG
This 253-nucleotide ribosomal RNA is filed under the name uncultured bacterium. RNAcentral's name for it is "partial 16S ribosomal RNA". It matches the Rfam family "Bacterial small subunit ribosomal RNA", at positions 524 to 776 of the family's 1533-position model. The record is from RNAcentral.